Molecule: ribosomal RNA, 245 nt
Filed under: uncultured Desulfurispora sp.
Lineage: Bacteria; Bacillati; Bacillota; Clostridia; Eubacteriales; Desulfurisporaceae
Description: partial 16S ribosomal RNA
Rfam family: Bacterial small subunit ribosomal RNA
Source: RNAcentral
GGACGAACUGCCGUUGACAAAACGGGAGGAAGGUCGGGGAUGACGUCAAAUCAUCAUGCCCCUUAUGCUCUGGGCUACACACGUGCUACAAUGGUCCGUACAGAGGGCAGCGACCCGGUGACGGGAAGCCAAUCCCUUAAAGCGGAUCUCAGUUCCGGAUUGGCAGGCUGCAACCCGCCUGCAUGAAGUCGGAAUCGCUAGUAAUCGCAGGUCAGCAUACUGCGGUGAAUACGUUCCCGGGCCUU